Molecule: small RNA, 1775 nt
Filed under: Rattus norvegicus (Norway rat)
Lineage: Eukaryota; Metazoa; Chordata; Mammalia; Rodentia; Muridae
Description: uncharacterized LOC102549552
Source: RNAcentral
UAAUCUGGCAUCACAAUAAAAAGGAAUUUUGCUACCAUGGAGUUCUGAAAAGGCUGGAUUUGGAGAGUUGGGAGAGCUAUCCAAGACCAACAGAAAUGAUCGAGCAAGCUCAGACAUAUUCAUUUGCACCUAGAAGCAGUGGUACCUUCUAGACAGCGUAUUCUCAGAAGAAGAAAAAAAGAAUGCUGGGUAGAACAGAGUGGAAUAAAGUAGACGCUGAAGAAAGGCUGACAAAAAAAUGAAACUCCUGCAGCAUUUCACUCUGGCCAAGCAGAAGAGCAUCAAUUUCUUCCUUCAAAGAGCAUUUACUAAGAAUGUGCUGUUCGGGCGACAGAUGCUGUGAGAGGAACUGAAUCUAAGCACAUAGAUGAAAGUUUAUUCCCCCACACGGUCCAGGCAUUUCUCUGCGUCACCACCAUAUCUCUUUGGUGAUCACUGUUGUUAAAUAACUAAUGAUAUUUAGGGCGCAUCUUCCUGUGAAACCUGUCAAUUACCUUUACAGUGGGCACAAAAGAGAAGAAGAUUGAAGAAAAUAUAGGUCUCAGGUUCUCCCCAGAAAUCUUCUAGAUGUAAUACAAGAAGGGGAGGGAGCAUAAGUGUAUCUUAGUAAUUAGAAUUGGAUGAAUUUGGCAGAUGUGAUGCAGCCUGGCCUCUGAUGAUAUAUUGGUGGAGACAACUUGAGCCUUGAGCCACAUGGUCUUUCAUAUUUGGCUCAGGAUGAGCUGUUUGCUUGUUUCCUUCACAGAGGCACUGUGUUCUGUCAAUAUUGCCGUAUGCCAAAAGCUGUGCUUGACAUUUCUCCCUCGGUGCCACAUUCUCUGACCUUCUGAAUCAAUCUGUGGGUCAGACCCUAACAUUAUUCAUAUUUCACAGAUCAAAUCAAUUACUGAGCUAAGUAAUGUAAAAUAGUUCUGGAGGUCAGAGGUCUGAAAUUCAUCACUGGAUUCAAAUUAAGCUCUCUGUAGCCCUGUUUUGUUUGCUUGUCUUCAGAGACUGUUUGGGACUGUCCUUACUUUUGUGAUGUUAUCAUGACUACCCACAUUUCUUAGCUCAGGGCUCAUUCAUCUCCCUACCUCCAGAUUCAACAGAAUCAAGUUGACUCUCAAUCAUGCUUGUUUCUCUUUCUCCCACGUCCAUCCACUUAGAAGAAUGUCAUGAUUGUGUGGAGCCCAUCUGAAAAGGAACAAUGUCUUCCCUUCUCAACUUCUCAUGAGUAGCCUUAAUUUGGUCUACAUGAAAAUGAACAUAUGCACAGAGAACAUGCUCAUGCUUUUUCAAAGAGUGGAGAUUGGGAUUCGAAACCUUUGCAGGCAUGUGUGCGUGUGUGCGUGCGUGCGUGCGUGCGUGCCUGUUCCUCAUAUUGGAUGGUGAAUAGGCAUGCAGGAGAAGUCACGAUUAAAGUGGCAAAACUGUGUGCAAAUACACAAGCCCCUAGGGGUUCUUACAGGCUGAUCGCUGACAACCAGUGGGGGUGUUGCCAGUUGCAUCCUGGACUCACAAAGCAGACAUGCACUUUGCUAAGAACAGACUCUUGCGUCAUCUAAUGGAUCAAAAUGAAGGAUGGAUGAUUUUUGAGUCAGGAGGGUGAAAGCACCUGAAUGCCCUGUAAGUGCUACCUGCCUUUUACCUCUGCAAAAGCACUGCUUUAUUGGAAAUGAUCAUUUCCUAAAACAAAGCCGGAACAGUAGGAGCUUUGGGUUUUGUACAAAGCUACCCUGAAAGUCAGUCUAGCUCAUCUCCUGCUGGUGAAAUAAAUGCUGGAGAGCCUCCCUUCA